This is a non-coding RNA of Mycena polygramma, 92 nucleotides long. Lineage: Eukaryota; Fungi; Basidiomycota; Agaricomycetes; Agaricales; Mycenaceae. The record is from the annotation of a GenBank genome assembly.
GACUCGGUAGCGGAGGGUCCGCGUCCACCUUGUGUGUGCGAUUGCAUUCACCCUUCAUGUGGGAGUCGCCUGUUCGAUUCAGGCCCGAGUUA